Molecule: long non-coding RNA, 733 nt
Filed under: Cebus imitator (Panamanian white-faced capuchin)
Lineage: Eukaryota; Metazoa; Chordata; Mammalia; Primates; Cebidae
Description: lncRNA (ENSCCAG00000038157.1)
Source: RNAcentral
CGGGAGGUUUGAAUUUGAAGACAGGCGGUAAGACGAUGACAGCACCUGUCGGCAGGCCAGGCCAGGCUUCUCCCGAGUGGGGGGACGCUGGAACUGUGGCUUGCCCUGAUUGUUCGAAAAGGGUUUGCCAUGAAUCUUCUGCGUCGGAGUGGGAAACGGCGGCAUUCAGAGUCAGGUUCAGAUUCGUUGUCGGGAAGCGGCAGUGACAGCAGUGCCAGCCUCCAGCUCCUCUCCCGGACCGUGCUGAGCCCGCCGCCGGGCCUGGGUCGCUGCCUGAAGGACCGUGGCCGUCAGUCAGCCGCAAAUGCAGGAAAGUGCAAGCCUACCGCUCCCGACUGCCAAAUAGACAAGCUACUAUUGGCAAAUUGGGAACUUCCUAAAGCAGUUCUGGAAAAAUACCACAGUUUUGGUGUAAAAAAGAUGUUUGAAAUGGCAGGCAGAGUGCCUUUUGCUCGGACAAGUCCUGGAAGGAAGAAUUUAGUCUAUUCAGGUAUCCAAAUUUAUGUAAACUAAUUACUAUUUUUAAGAUAUGAUUCAAAGAGCACUCCAUUGGAGUAGUUAUGGUUCUUUUAAAAGGUGAAUGAGGCAGUGCUUUAAAACUAGAGAAAAUCUUAAAAUAUGUGUGAAAAGUAGAGUUUUAUUAUAUGACUAUGCGUGGGGAAGCAAGAAAAAUGACAAUUUAAAGAGUGGGCAAUUCCACUUGCCAUCAUCAUGCUCAACAUACAUAUAUCCC